RNAcentral lists this ribosomal RNA (465 nucleotides) under uncultured bacterium. RNAcentral describes it as "partial 16S ribosomal RNA". It matches the Rfam family "Bacterial small subunit ribosomal RNA", at positions 338 to 795 of the family's 1533-position model. The record is from RNAcentral.
CCUACGGGAUGCUGCAGUGGGGAAUAUUGCGCAAUGGGCGAAAGCCUGACGCAGCGACGCCGCGUGAGGGAUGGAGGUCUUCAGAUCGUAAACCUCUGUCAGCAGGGAAGAACGGUCACUGUGCUAAUCAGCAGUGAAUUGACGGUACCUGCAAAGGAAGCACCGGCUAACUCCGUGCCAGCAGCCGCGGUAAUACGGAGGGUGCGAGCGUUAAUCGGAAUUACUGGGCGUAAAGCGCUCGUAGGCGGUAUGUCAAGUCAAGGGUGAAAUCCCCGCGCUCAACGUGGGAACUGCCUUUGAAACUGGCAAACUGGAGUGUGUGAGAGGAUGGUGGAAUUCCAGGUGUAGGAGUGAAAGCCGUAGAUAUCUGGAGGAACAUCAGUGGCGAAGGCGACUAUCUGGCACAUAACUGACGCUGAGGAGCGAAAGCGUGGGUAGCAAACAGGAUUAGAUACCCCAGUAGUC